RNAcentral lists this ribosomal RNA (465 nucleotides) under uncultured Bacteroidales bacterium. Its description in RNAcentral is "bacterial SSU rRNA". It matches the Rfam family "Bacterial small subunit ribosomal RNA", at positions 336 to 798 of the family's 1533-position model. Lineage: Bacteria; Pseudomonadati; Bacteroidota; Bacteroidia; Bacteroidales. The record is from RNAcentral.
UUCCUACGGGGGGCAGCAGUGAGGAAUAUUGGUCAAUGGGCGGCAGCCUGAACCAGCCAUCCCGCGUGAAGGAAGAAUGCGCUAUGCGUUGUAAACUUCUUUUUCAGGGGGAUAAAAUUUUGUAUGUAUACAGAACUGAAGGUACCCUGAGAAUAAGCAUCGGCUAACUCCGUGCCAGCAGCCGCGGUAAUACGGAGGAUGCGAGCGUUAUCCGGAUUUAUUGGGUUUAAAGGGUGCGUAGGCGGAAUAAUAAGUCAGUGGUGAAACCCUGCAGCUUAACUGUAGACUUGCCAUUGAUACUGUUUUUCUUGAGUAUGGUCAAGGCAGGCGGAAUGUGUAAUGUAGCGGUGAAAUGCUUAGAUAUUACACAGAACACCGAUAGCGAAGGCAGCUUGCUGGGCCGUUACUGACGCUGAUGCACGAAAGCGUGGGGAUCGAACAGGAUUAGAUACCCUGGUAGUCGAA